This 2222-nucleotide long non-coding RNA is filed under the name Helianthus annuus (common sunflower). The record is from RNAcentral. Lineage: Eukaryota; Viridiplantae; Streptophyta; Magnoliopsida; Asterales; Asteraceae.
UCUCUUUGGCCAGAGAAUUGUGAUUUUGGGCGGCAAAUCAUUUUCCUCAUUUCUCAGCCAUUUUGUUAAAGCGCUGUUAUGUUCUUCAAUAUGGAAACUCCAAUCAAUUAGCAAUCAGUUGAAUUCUUCUCCAAUACGUUUCAAUCAAUCCUUAAAACCCUAAAACCUAAAUCACUGCCGUUAUCAAUUUUGGCGAUUUCACAUCAAAGGACGAAUUUCAUUCUGUGUUCAUAUUUCUUAUAUCAGUUUCCUCUUCAUUUGAUUUCAACAGUUCUCAAUCAGAUCACAUCAAAUCGGAUCAAAUCGGAUCGGAUCGGAAGACUCUGUUGUACAGUGUUAACAAUGAUAAGGAAUACGAUCUGUACGUGGAUUUUGGAGAUGUAUGUCUAAACCAGCAUGGCAGCCGAAAGAUCGCCCGCUUGCUUGCAAACAAGCAAGAAGAAUCCAGCUAAAGUUCCUAAACGGAUUCACAAAGCUGAAAGGGAAAAAGUAAAGCGUGAACAUUUGAAUGAACUCUUUCUUGAGUUGGCUGGUGCACUUGAACUCACAGAACAAAACAGUGGGAAAGCCUCGGUAUUAGGCGAAACCACUCGAGUUGUAAAGGACAUGAUUGAUCAUUGAUGAAACGUGUACGCUACAAUAACAAAUCAGUGAACUACAGAGCAUGAUAAAAGAGAGAAAUGUCCAAACAAACCUUGAUCUGAAUGCACCCGCGAUCGAAUCGCAAGAACCGCAAUUCCCGACUUAUUUUCCAUUAGAGUGGCUGCAGUUGUAUACAUGGAUUGUGGAUUUAACUAACAACAUAUGUUGAUGGUAUGGCUUACGUUGACAAAAGUCUUCACAAUCUUCCUUCUGCAGUAGCUCCGGUUCAUUAAAGCGCAGCCGGGUGACAAGGUAUGGAAAAAGGCGGUACACACAUUGGAGUUGGCUACCUUAUGAAGAAUCUUACAUAAAGAGUUCAAUGGUAGAUCGGUUCUGGUGACGAAAAUGUUGGUUGUAAUAAAAGCGGAUUCGUUCAAUUUGGCUGAAAAAUAGCUUGAUGGUGUUACCGACGAUUGCAGACGUGGACAAUGAGAGGUUCUAGGGUGUUAAACGGAAUGCUGACGUCUCAAGAGUUGUGCAUGUCAAAUGAUUUUACUAAAGAGUAGGUUAUCGAUCUAAGGUUAGGGUUCAGAUCAUCGUUUUCAGCAGUUAAGUGGAUGGAUAAGGAAGAAAGACUCCUGAUUUGGGCUUCCAUGACUCCACAAAAGUAUGAUGUUGCAAAAAACAUUGAAAGAUUUGGGCAAACAUAAAUGUCAAUCGUCCAGCAAAAGCUUAUAGUGGAAUUUGUAAAGAUUCAAAGUGAUGGUACGCUGGAAGUGGAUUAACAUGCCAAAAGAGCUGGUUACUUCAGGCCUAUAGCGGGAUUAACAUGCCAAAAUACAUAUCGCAGCUGGUGAAGUCUUUCAAGUGGUUUAAGUACAAAAAAUUCAACAAGUUGAAGGCUGGGGCUGAUGUUACGACAAUGGUUCAGGUUAUACAGGGCUGUUAAUGGCCCAUGAAAGUUUUCGGUUCCUGUUGGAUAAGUGUGGUUGCGGGUUCGGUCUGUGGCAGUCUAAGUCUCACCUCUCAAGUGGUGCUUAUAAAAUCCUAUUUCAGCAAAGCCAGUGGGUGUGCCUUAAAGCCAGGGGCAGUUUCGUCUUUAUGGCCUGGGACAAUUUAUUUCCGGGUUUGAUGUUUGUUUUCUGGGGUUUCGCCAUGUCAUGUUGUGUGCUUCGAGUUUACCGUGAUGUCCCGAGUUUGCUGACUUGGUCCGAGUUGCGGCCAUGAUCCGGGGUUACGGCAGUGUUCUGGGUUUGCUGCCUUGUUCCGGGGUUGCUGUCAUGCUCCGGGAUUCCUGUCAGGUCCCGAGCCUUGUUUGGGUUAAUGUAGUGUUAUUCAAGGCCCAUUACAAUGGCCUUGUGCUAUUGCUUAUAGGAUAUUGCCGCGCUUUCGACUCAGGCAGGCUGCUGUUGAAGGCCCACCAGUUGGGUAGAGUGGUAUUCCGAUUGUGAUCAAACAGAAAGGAAUUUGGUCAUCAAGUUUGAUUGGCAACACAUGCAAAUUUAUUUUGGGAUGAAUUGGGUCGAGUUGACCUGGUAGUGAUUUUUGUGUGCAUGUUUUUAAUGAAUUAGUGUGUCAACUAUGAAUGCUUAACAAUAUUAUUACAAUAAUAUAUUUUAAAUUUAUGAAAAAGUUUUAAG